RNAcentral lists this transfer RNA (80 nucleotides) under Paenibacillus sp. FSL H7-0331. It matches the Rfam family "tRNA". From Rfam's summary of the family: Transfer RNA (tRNA) molecules are approximately 80 nucleotides in length. Their secondary structure includes four short double-helical elements and three loops (D, anti-codon, and T loops). Lineage: Bacteria; Bacillati; Bacillota; Bacilli; Caryophanales; Paenibacillaceae. The record is from Rfam by way of RNAcentral.
GCGGUCGUGGUGGAACGGCAGACACGCUAUCUUGAGGGGGUAGUGUCCCAUGGACGUGCGGGUUCAAAUCCCGCCGACCG